AUGGUCUCGAGUCGCAACCGUUGCGGUCUCCAGUUGCAGCUUCAUGGUCUCGAGUCGCAACCGUUGGUCUCGAGUCGUUUACCUGCUGAUUCUGAUGCAUCUGCCCGAAUUGUACUAUGCAACAGAAUUCUGAUUUCCUGAGGUUAUGUACUAUCCAAUGAUAUCACACAAACAUGUUCCCUUGUCUAACACUUAACCAAAAUGGAUCAAACAACAAGUUUUUCAAAUAUUUGCAACAACAUUCAAACACAUUCCACACAUAUUCAUCAUAUGUUCAUCAUUUUAGGGUUUUCCUAACUUGAUUGUUCAACCAACACAUUCACUAUGAUUCACCGAUUUAUUCAUGUGGACUUAGAAGCAAAUCACUAAACCUUCAACCCACCCAAACAUGCAUUUCACAAGCAACAAUCAUGUAACAUUUAUUCUAAACACCAUCAACAU
Molecule: long non-coding RNA, 441 nt
Filed under: Helianthus annuus (common sunflower)
Lineage: Eukaryota; Viridiplantae; Streptophyta; Magnoliopsida; Asterales; Asteraceae
Source: RNAcentral